Molecule: ribosomal RNA, 253 nt
Filed under: uncultured bacterium
Lineage: Bacteria
Description: partial 16S ribosomal RNA
Rfam family: Bacterial small subunit ribosomal RNA
Source: RNAcentral
UACGUAGGGUGCGAGCGUUAAUCGGAAUUACUGGGCGUAAAGCGUGCGCAGGCGGUUCGCUGUGUCCGAUGUGAAAGCCCCGGGCUCAACCUGGGAAUGGCAUUGGAAACUGGCGGGCUCGAGUGUGGCAGAGGGGGGCGGAAUUCCGCGUGUAGCAGUGAAAUGCGUAGAGAUGUGGAGGAACACCGAUGGCGAAGGCAGCCCCCUGGGCCAACACUGACGCUCAGGCACGAAAGCGUGGGGAGCAAACAGG